Molecule: ribosomal RNA, 1308 nt
Filed under: Clostridium botulinum
Lineage: Bacteria; Bacillati; Bacillota; Clostridia; Eubacteriales; Clostridiaceae
Description: partial 23S ribosomal RNA
Rfam family: Bacterial large subunit ribosomal RNA
Source: RNAcentral
ACAUGGGUAACCCCAUGUAUCAUGCACUGAAUACAUAGGUGUAUGAGGGUAAACCCGGGGAACUGAAACAUCUAAGUACCCGGAGGAAGAGAAAGAAAAAUCGAUUUCCUAAGUAGCGGCGAGCGAACGGGAAAGAGCCCAAACCAGAAACUUGUUUCUGGGGUUGUGGAUAGAUCAUAAAAGAAGAGGUAUCUUAAUCGAAGAGGGCUGGAACGCCCUACCAUAGAAGGUAAUAGUCCUGUAGGUAAAAAGAGAAAACUUUAAGAUCUAAUCCAGAGUACCACGAGACACGUGAAACCUUGUGGGAAGCAGGGAGGACCACCUCCCAAGGCUAAAUACUACCUAGUGACCGAUAGUGAAGCAGUACCGUGAGGGAAAGGUGAAAAGAACCCCGGAAGGGGAGUGAAAUAGAACCUGAAACCGUGUGCCUACAACCGAUCGGAGCACGUUAAAGUGUGACGAUGUGCUUUUUGUAGAACGAGCCAGCGAGUUACGCUAUGUAGCAAGGUUAAGUACUUAAGGUAUGGAGCCGAAGGGAAACCGAGUCUGAAAAGGGCGAAAAGUUGCAUGGUGUAGACCCGAAACCGGGUGACCUAUCCAUGGCCAGGUUGAAGCGAGAGUAAAAUCUCGUGGAGGACCGAACCACGUUGGUGUUGAAAAACCAUGGGAUGAGCUGUGGAUAGCGGAGAAAUUCCAAUCGAACUCGGAGAUAGCUGGUUCUCCUCGAAAUAGCUUUAGGGCUAGCGUCGUGUAAUUGAGUAAUGGAGGUAGAGCACUGAAUGGGCUAGGGGCUAUAGUAGUUACCGAACCCUAUCAAACUCCGAAUGCCAUAUACUUGUAUCACGGCAGUCAGACUGCGAAUGAUAAGAUCCGUAGUCAAAAGGGAAACAGCCCAGACCAUCAGCUAAGGUCCCAAAGUGUAAGUUAAGUGGAAAAGGAUGUGGGAUUUCUAAGACAACUAGGAUGUUGGCUUAGAAGCAGCCACUCAUUUAAAGAGUGCGUAAUAGCUCACUAGUCAAGAGAUCCUGCGCCGAAGAUGUCCGGGGCUCAAACUUACCACCGAAGCUAUGGGUGUACACUAUGUGUACGCGGUAGAGGAGCUUUCUGUAUGGGUUGAAGUCGUACCGUAAGGAGCGGUGGACUGUACAGAAGUGAGAAUGCUGGCAUAAGUAGCGAGAAAUAAGUGAGAAUCUUAUUGGCCGAAAACCUAAGGUUUCCUGAGGAAGGUUCGUCCGCUCAGGGUUAGUCGGGACCUAAGCCGAGGCCGAAAGGCGUAGGUGAUGGACAAUCGGUUGAUAUUCCGAUACC